This 253-nucleotide ribosomal RNA is filed under the name uncultured bacterium. RNAcentral's name for it is "partial 16S ribosomal RNA". It matches the Rfam family "Bacterial small subunit ribosomal RNA", at positions 524 to 776 of the family's 1533-position model. The record is from RNAcentral.
UACAGAGGGAGCGAGCGUUGUUCGGAAUUACUGGGCGUAAAGGGCGCGUAGGCGGUCCGAUAAGUCCCGUGUGAAAUCCCUCGGCUCAACUGAGGAAUGGCACGGGAAACUGACGGGCUUGAGUUCGGGAGAGGGAAGCGGAAUUCCGGGUGUAGCGGUGAAAUGCGUAGAUAUCCGGAGGAACACCGGUGGCGAAGGCGGCUUCCUGGACCGACACUGACGCUGAGGCGCGAAAGCUAGGGGAGCAAACGGG